ACAGCGUCAGCGACCCUCGCGUCGGUUCCUCAUGACACCCGGCCGGCGCUGAGCAGCCGUGCGAGAGAGGGAGAGAGAGAAAGGAAGCGACUAGAACGCCUCCCUACAUCCGGGAUGAAAUAUGUACUGAUGUCUUUGGAUG
Molecule: long non-coding RNA, 142 nt
Organism: Varanus komodoensis (Komodo dragon)
Lineage: Eukaryota; Metazoa; Chordata; Lepidosauria; Squamata; Varanidae
Exons: 4
Source: RefSeq, a predicted model, not a curated record